RNAcentral lists this long non-coding RNA (515 nucleotides) under Serinus canaria (Common canary). RNAcentral describes it as "lncRNA (ENSSCAG00000011920.1)". The record is from RNAcentral. Lineage: Eukaryota; Metazoa; Chordata; Aves; Passeriformes; Fringillidae.
CAACCCUAUGCUGAAAGCUGACCUGACUGUGCAAUCAGAUGAUGUAUUCCAAGGCCUAGUUUGGUGAAGCUGCUCAUCUCUCUGGGAGCAGGGAUGCUGCAGUCCCUUUCUGUAUUCCUGUGCUUAGCUGCACCCUGUGACAAGAAUUUUCUUCCUUCUUUCAUGAGACAGGACCUGCUGGAAGUGGCUCAGAAGACUGCAGUUAUGAUGAGUCAAUUCUCUGGAGGGGAGAACAGCAUCACUGGGAGACAGGACCUUGCUGGGGGCUCCUGCAAGAUGUGGCUCUGCAUCCUGUUUUGUUUCUUUAGAGAGGACCGUGGUACAAAAAGUUCUGCACAGAAAAGGUGGAGGUAGGGAGCAGAAUCAACCAAAAGCUCCUCGGUUGACUCACCACAUCUCAUAUGGCUUCACCCUCAAUUUCUGAAGAGAUACCACUGGCUGAAGGAUUUUUCUGUUCUUCUACAAUACCAGACCUUUUAUCUUGAGAAUAAAUUCAAGUGGGCUUUAGUUUUUCA